CCUACGUGAGGCAGCAGUGGGGAAUAUUGCACAAUGGGCGAAAGCCUGAUGCAGCAACGCCGCGUGAAGGAAGAAGGGUUUCUGCUCGUAAACUUCUAUCAGCAGGGACGAAAAAAAUGACAGUAGCUGAAGAAGAAACGCCUGCUAACUACGUGCCAGCAGCCGCGGUAAUACGUAGGGGGCAAGCGUUAUCCGGAAUUACUGGGUGUAAGGGGUGAGUAGGCGGUAUGGUAAUCCAGAGGUGAAAGCCUUGGGCUUAACCCCAGGAUUGCGUUGGAAACUAUCCAGCUAGAGUACAGGAGAGGAAGGCGGAAUUCCUAGUGUAGCGGUGAAAUGCGUAGAUAUUAGGAAGAACACCAGUGGCGAAGGCGGCUUUCUGGACUGAAACUGACGUUGAGGCACGAAAGCGUGGGGAGCGAACAGGAUUAGAUACCCCUGUAGUC
Molecule: ribosomal RNA, 443 nt
Filed under: uncultured bacterium
Lineage: Bacteria
Description: partial 16S ribosomal RNA
Rfam family: Bacterial small subunit ribosomal RNA
Source: RNAcentral